Molecule: ribosomal RNA, 837 nt
Filed under: uncultured Enterobacteriaceae bacterium
Lineage: Bacteria; Pseudomonadati; Pseudomonadota; Gammaproteobacteria; Enterobacterales; Enterobacteriaceae
Description: SSU rRNA
Rfam family: Bacterial small subunit ribosomal RNA
Source: RNAcentral
AGUCGGAUGUGAAAUCCCCGGGCUCAGGCUGGGAACUGCAUUCGAAACUGGCAGGCUAGAGUCUUGUAGAGGGGGGUAGAAUUCCAGGUGUAGCGGUGAAAUGCGUAGAGAUCUGGAGGAAUACCGGUGGCGAAGGCGGCCCCCCGGACAAAGACUGACGCUCAGGUGCGAAAGCGUGGGGAGCAAACAGGAUUAGAUACCCUGGGUAGUCCACGGCCGUAAACGAUGUCGAUUUGGAGGUUGUGCCCUUGAGGCGUGGCUUCCGGAGCUAACGCGUUAAAUCGACUGCCUGGGGGAGUACGGCCGCAAAGUUAAAACUCAAAUGAAUUGACGGGGGCCCGCACAAGCGGUGGAGCAUGUGGCUUAAUUCGAUGCAACGCGAAGAACCUUACCUGGUCUUGACAUCCACAGAACUUAGCAGAGAUGCUUUGGUGCCUUCGGGAACUGUGAGACAGGUGCUGCAUGGCUGUCGUCAGCUCGUGUUGUGAAAUGUUGGGUUAAGUCCCGCAACGAGCGCAACCCUUAUCCUUUGUUGCCAGCGGUUAGGCCGGGAACUCAAAGGAGACUGCCAGUGAUAAACUGGAGGAAGGUGGGGAUGACGUCAAGUCAUCAUGGCCCUUACGACCAGGGCUACACACGUGCUACAAUGGCAUAUACAAAGAGAAGCGACCUCGCGAGAGCAAGCGGACCUCAUGAAGUAUGUCGUAGUCCGGAUUGGAGUCUGCAACUCGACUCCAUGAAGCCGGAAUCGCUAGUAAUCGUAGAUCAGAAUGCUACGGUGAAUACGUUCCCGGGCCUUGUACACACCGCCCGUCACACCAUGGGAGUGGGUUGCAA